RNAcentral lists this ribosomal RNA (508 nucleotides) under uncultured bacterium. Its description in RNAcentral is "partial 16S ribosomal RNA". It matches the Rfam family "Bacterial small subunit ribosomal RNA", at positions 28 to 523 of the family's 1533-position model. The record is from RNAcentral.
GAUGAACGCUAGCUACAGGCUUAACACAUGCAGGUCGAGGGGAAACGACAUCGAAAGCUUGCUUUUGAUGGGCGUCGACCGGCGCACGGGUGAGUAACGCGUAUCCAACCUGCCCACCACUUGGGGAUAACUUUGCGAAAGUAAGACUAAUACCCAAUGACGUCUCUAGAAGACAUCUGAAAGAGAUUAAAGAUUUAUCGGUGAUGGAUGGGGAUGCGUCUGAUUAGCUUGUUGGCGGGGUAACGGCCCACCAAGGCGACGAUCAGUAGGGGUUCUGAGAGGAAGGUCCACCACAUUGGAACUGAGACACGGUCCAAACUCCUACGGGAGGCAGCAGUGAGGAAUAUUGGUCAAUGGACGAGAGUCUGAACCAGCCAAGUAGCGUGCAGGAUGACGGCCCUAUGGGUUGUAAACUGCUUUUAUAAGGGAAUAAAGUGAGAGUCGUGACUCUUUUUGCAUGUACCUUAUGAAUAAGGACCGGCUAAUUCCGUGCCAGCCGCCGCCGUAA